AUACGGAGGGGGCUAGCGUUGUUCGGAUUUACUGGGCGUAAAGCGCACGCAGGCGGUUCUUCUAGUUAGGCGUGAAAGGCCUGGGCUCAACCCGGGAACUGCGCUUAAUACUGUUGAGCUAGAGUCCGGGAGAGGAUGGCGGAAUUCCCAGUGUAGAGGUGAAAUUCGUAGAUAUUGGGAAGAACACCAGUGGCGAAGGCGGCCAUCUGGUCCGGUACUGACGCUGAGGUGCGAAAGCGUGGGGAGCAAACAGGAUUAGAAACCCUAGUAGUCC
Molecule: ribosomal RNA, 274 nt
Filed under: uncultured bacterium
Lineage: Bacteria
Description: partial 16S ribosomal RNA
Rfam family: Bacterial small subunit ribosomal RNA
Source: RNAcentral